Molecule: ribosomal RNA, 406 nt
Filed under: uncultured bacterium
Lineage: Bacteria
Description: partial 16S ribosomal RNA
Rfam family: Bacterial small subunit ribosomal RNA
Source: RNAcentral
GACGACCGCUGGCGGCGCGCUUAACACAUGCAAGUCGAGCGAAGCGUCGCACGGGUUCGUAACACGUGAGUAACCUGCAUUAGACAUCGGGAUAGAUUCGGGAAACCGGGAUUCAUACCAAAUGGUCUAAGAUGUACUCGCGUCCCAUACGCGAGUUGGCGAGGUAACGGCGCACCAAGUCGACGAUGGGUAGCCAGCCUGAGAGAGUGAACGGCAACAUUGGAACUGGGAACCGGUAAAAACUCUACGGGAGGAAGCAGUGGUGAAUAUUGCACAAUGGAGGGAACACUGAUGCAGCGACGUGGCGUGGACGAAGAAGGCUUUGGAAUAGUAAAGUUAUUUUAUAGUGGAAGCGGUACCAUAAGAAAAAGCCCCGGCUAACUACGUGCCAGCCGCGGCGGUAUUC